GACGAACGCUGGCGGCGUGCUUAACACAUGCAAGUCGAACGUGAUUUUUGUGGAAAUUCUUUCGGGAAUGGAAAUGAAAUGAAAGUGGCGAACGGGUGAGUAACACGUGAGCAACCUACCUUACACAGGGGGAUAGCCGUUGGAAACGACGAUUAAUACCGCAUGAGACCACAAAGCCACAUGGCUUAGGGGUAAAAGAUUUAUCGGUGUAAGAUGGGCUCGCGUCUGAUUAGCUAGUUGGAAGGGUAAAGGCCUACCAAGGCAACGAUCAGUAGCCGGUCUGAGAGGAUGAACGGCCACAUUGGAACUGAGACACGGUCCAAACUCCUACGGGAGGCAGCAGUGGGGAAUAUUGCACAAUGGGGGGAACCCUGAUGCAGCGACGCCGCGUGAGCGAAGAAGGUUUUCGAAUCGUAAAGCUCUGUCCUAUGAGAAGAUAAUGACGGUAUCAUAGGAGGAAGCCCCGGCUAAAUACGUGCCAGCAGCCGCGGUAAUACGUAUGGGGCGAGCGUUGUCCGGAAUUAUUGGGCGUAAAGGGUACGUAGGCGGUUUUUUAAGUCAGGUGUGAAAGCGUGAAGCUUAACCUCAUUAAGCACUUGAAACUGGAAGGCUUGAGUGAAGGAGAGGAAAGUGGAAUUCCUAGUGUAGCGGUGAAAUGCGUAGAUAUUAGGAGGAAUACCGGUGGCGAAGGCGACUUUCUGGACUUUUACUGACGCUCAGGUACGAAAGCGUGGGGAGCAAACAGG
This 746-nucleotide ribosomal RNA is filed under the name uncultured Parvimonas sp. RNAcentral's name for it is "bacterial SSU rRNA". It matches the Rfam family "Bacterial small subunit ribosomal RNA", at positions 28 to 776 of the family's 1533-position model. Lineage: Bacteria; Bacillati; Bacillota; Tissierellia; Tissierellales; Peptoniphilaceae. The record is from RNAcentral.